GAUGAACGCUGGCUACAGGCUUAACACAUGCAAGUCGAGGGGAAACGGCAUUGAGUGCUUGCACUGAAUGGACGUCGACCGGCGCACGGGUGAGUAACGGCGUAUCCAACCUUCCCGUUACUGCGGGAUAACCUGCCGAAAGGCAGACUAAUACCGCAUGUUCUUCGAUGACGGCAUCAGAUUCGAAGCAAAGAUCCGUCGGUAACGGAGGGGGAUGCGUCUGAUUAGCUAGUUGGCGGGGCGACGGCCCACCAAGGCGACGAUCAGUAGGGGUUCUGAGAGGAAGGUCCCCCACAUUGGAACUGAGACACGGUCCAAACUCCUACGGGAGGCAGCAGUGAGGAAUAUUGGUCAAUGGGCGGAAGCCUGAACCAGCCAAGCAGCGUGCAGGAGGACGGCCCUACGGGUUGUAAACUGCUUUUAUGCGGGGAUAAAGUGAGGGACGUGUCCCUUUUUGCAGGUACCGCAAAUAAGGACGGCUAU
RNAcentral lists this ribosomal RNA (483 nucleotides) under Prevotella denticola. Its description in RNAcentral is "bacterial SSU rRNA". It matches the Rfam family "Bacterial small subunit ribosomal RNA", at positions 28 to 500 of the family's 1533-position model. The record is from RNAcentral. Lineage: Bacteria; Pseudomonadati; Bacteroidota; Bacteroidia; Bacteroidales; Prevotellaceae.